Harpegnathos saltator (Jerdon's jumping ant) is the source of this 1076-nucleotide long non-coding RNA. RefSeq lists it as uncharacterized. NCBI's taxonomy places the organism in Eukaryota, Metazoa, Arthropoda, Insecta, Hymenoptera, Formicidae. The record is from RefSeq and is a predicted model, not a curated record. The transcript is spliced from 2 exons.
CAGCCGUAGAGUGAGUUCCAUCGGACCGCCGAUGGUGCUCGUUGCAGGCUCACGCCUGAAGCUGUAUUUUCGUGGCGAUUCGCAGCUUUAUCAGACACCUUUCCUGAUUAACCGCGACUGUCCAUAAGUCACGUGACUAAUGCCGUGCAGAACCUCGCAGGGCUUAGCUAAACGCCAUGCUAUACCGUAAAAGGAAACUUUCCACGUAAGGCUGGUUGAUCUCCCAUAGGCAGUGAACAAAGUGCCGCUUAUGCCCGGAACGAUUACCAUCUGACUGAAAUUACUGGUCGACUGCAAUUACCGGUCGAAAACUAUUAUACGCAGAGCGCAUGUGUAACAACCGCUCGGGUGAUCACAUGGGGAAAAAAAGUGUUGUAGGGUAAGAAGCGCACUGCUAGUACGUGUCCUGUUGAAUUUUGCAUUGUUGGCGACCGCGCGGAGCCGCAGAGAAAGUCGCCCUCGCUUUAAAAAUGCAAACCUGCAAUCUGUCGGAUCGCCGGGCGAAUUUGCGAGCGAUAAUACGCGCAAAAAUUAAAGCGCACAGCCGCCUGUGAAUAAUGAAACGUAAUGGCCGAUCGCUUCGUGCUGUGCGCAUGUGCGCCACGUGAAGAUGUUUGUCCAGCGCGAUAUUUUCCGGUAUUCUCGCACGUUUGAUCGUUCCACUCUAACGAAUCAACAUGUUUCGUGAAGCGAUGAAUAUAUUUGACAUCUCUAGAAUGAAUUUUAUGGUCUGCCGUUGUAUGCGCGUGUGUCUACCUGUAUAUUAUACGAUACGUGCGUGCCUGUGAAUAUUAGCACGCGUUCUGGAACGUAAAUUUCAAUAGGAAAUAGCGAGUAGACAAUACUGAGUCUUCAAAACAGUUGGGAAUACAUUUCACCCUUCCAGUCGGGUAAACGUUUAAAAAGAUGAGGAACAAAAACUUGGAUAUGAACUAAAUUACUUGCAGAAGACAAACAGGGAAGGCGAUAACGUAAAAGAAAUUGUAUCUUAUGCCGACAGAUUAGAUCGUAAAUAUGUGUAUUUGUUUUAAUUAAAGUAAAUGCUCUAUGCACGUUUUUAGUGCUUACAAAGUUUA